Molecule: ribosomal RNA, 381 nt
Filed under: uncultured soil bacterium
Lineage: Bacteria
Description: bacterial SSU rRNA
Rfam family: Bacterial small subunit ribosomal RNA
Source: RNAcentral
AGAGUGAACGCUGGCGGCAGGCCUAAUACAUGCAAGUCGAACGGCAGCACGGCAGAGCUUGCUCUGUGGGUGGCGAGUGGCGGACGGGUGAGGAAUACAUGGGAAUCUGCCCAGUCGUGGGGGAUAACGUAUGGAAACGUACGCUAAUACCGCAUGCGCCCGUUACGGGGGAAAGCCGGGGACCUUCGGGCCUGGCGCGAUUGGAUGAGCCCAUGUCGGAUUAGCUAGGUUGGCGGGUAACGCCACCAAGCGACAUCCGUAGCUGGUCUGAGGAGGAUGAUACACGCCACACUACGGGAACUGGACGACGUAACGGUCCAAGACCUCCCGUAGGGACGGCAGGCAAGUAGGGAAUAGUGGAACAUAGGGCGACAAGGCCUA